Molecule: long non-coding RNA, 682 nt
Organism: Macadamia integrifolia
Lineage: Eukaryota; Viridiplantae; Streptophyta; Magnoliopsida; Proteales; Proteaceae
Exons: 2
Source: RefSeq, a predicted model, not a curated record
AAUUGGGAAGAAAAAACAAAAAUUCCUAUUCUCAUCGUCUCUCUAUCACUCUCGUGACUUUCAAGUCUCACCCCGCUCGUGACUCUCACCCUGCGAGUAGGGUGAGGCGAUCUCUCUCUCACAGGACUCUCAGCGAUCUCAUGACUCUCACCCUGUGCGCAGGGUGAGGCGAUCUCUCUCUCACGUGAUUCUCAGCGAUCUCUCUCUCUGGCGACUCUCAUCCUGCUCGAGCAGGGUGAGUUGAUCUCUCUCUCACGCAACUCUCAUUCUGUUCGUGGUUUUCCUUCUCAACAAGUUGUUGGUUCUCUUCCUCAGGAGAAGAAUUUGGAAUCUCUAAUCCUCAGGUAGAAGUGCAAAAGGAUUGUGUGUCACUGCUUCCAUGGUCCAUCCAAACCCACCUUCCAACUCAAAAUGUUUAAAGUAAUGCAAUAGGGCUUGUGAUCUUUUUGAACAUUAGAUAUUUUUCAUGAACAGUAAUUUCAUGGAUGAAGUUGAUUAGUUUUGUAUCAAAUGAACUUAAUAUGAGUUUUCUAUUCAUUUCUGUGAAAUGAGAAGUUACAAAGUGUUUUAGUUGAAAACAAACUUCUAAUAUGAUCACUGAACAUUUUUCCAAGGAUCGUCAUUGUACUUGUUGUGAGAGCUUUACUUCUUUUUAUAAGUUCUAGUAUUUGGGUUCACAGUU